AACGCACAUUGCGCCCGCCAGUAUUCUGGCGGGCAUGCCUGUCCGAGCGUCAUUUCAACCCUCGAGAGUCUCUCUCGGUGUUGGGGAUCGACCCUUUCGUCGUCCCCUAAAUCCAGUGGCGGUCCGGCUGAGUUCCUCUGCGCAGUAACUGCUCUCGCAGGCGGAAGGCAGCCGUCACCAGCCGUUAAACCCCCAACUUUACCAAGGUUGACCUCGGAUCAGGUAGGAAUACCCGCUGAACUUAA
Molecule: unclassified non-coding RNA, 245 nt
Filed under: uncultured fungus
Lineage: Eukaryota; Fungi
Description: sequence contains ITS2
Rfam family: 5.8S ribosomal RNA (bases 1-52)
Source: RNAcentral